This 69-nucleotide transfer RNA is filed under the name Ictidomys tridecemlineatus (thirteen-lined ground squirrel). Its description in RNAcentral is "Spermophilus tridecemlineatus (thirteen-lined ground squirrel) tRNA". It matches the Rfam family "tRNA". From Rfam's summary of the family: Transfer RNA (tRNA) molecules are approximately 80 nucleotides in length. Their secondary structure includes four short double-helical elements and three loops (D, anti-codon, and T loops). The record is from Rfam by way of RNAcentral. Lineage: Eukaryota; Metazoa; Chordata; Mammalia; Rodentia; Sciuridae.
GGGGUUGUGGCUCAGUGGUAGAGCACUUGCUUAGCAUGUGCAAGGUGCUGGGUUCAAUCCUCAACAUCA